RNAcentral lists this ribosomal RNA (698 nucleotides) under uncultured archaeon. Its description in RNAcentral is "bacterial SSU rRNA". It matches the Rfam family "Archaeal small subunit ribosomal RNA", at positions 103 to 847 of the family's 1478-position model. The record is from RNAcentral.
GAUAACCUGCCCUUGGGUCCGGCAUAACCCCGGGAAACUGGGGAUAAUACCGGAUACCAUAUCUGGAAUUUUAUGUAAAGGUUCGCUGCCCAAGGAUGGGUCUGCGGCCUAUCAGGUAGUAGGGGUGUAAUGUACCUCUAGCCGACGACGGGUACGGGUUGUGAGAGCAAGAGCCCGGAGAUGGAUCUGAGACAGAAUCCAGGCCCUACGGGGCGCAGCAGGCGCGAAAACUUUACAAUGCGGAAACGUGAUAAGGGGACACCGAGUGCCACAUAAUGCUGGCUGUCCGGGUGUAAAAUACCCUGUAGCAAGGGCCGGGCAAGACCGGUGCCAGCCGCCGCGGUAACACCGGCGGCCCGAGUGGUGAUCGUGAUUAUUGGGUCUAAAGGGUCCGUAGCCGGUUUGUCAGUCCUCGGGAAAUCUACGGCUUAACGUAGGCUUCGGGGAUACUGCAGACUUGGAACCGGGAGAGGUAGAGGUACUACGGGGUAGGAGUGAAAUCUUGUAAUCCCGUGGGACCACCUGUGGCGAAGGCGUCUACCAGAACGGUUCGACGGUGAGGGACGAAAGCUGGGGGCACGAACCGGAUUAGAUACCCGGGUAGUCCCAGCCGUAAACGAUGCUSCUAGGUGUCGGUGGCCGACCUGUCGGUGCCGAGGGAAGCCGUGAAGCAGCCACCUGGGAAGUACGGCCGCAAG